GGAGAGGUGCCCGAGCGGCCGAAGGGGCUCGCCUGGAAAGCGAGUGUACCGUUCACGCGGUACCGUGGGUUCGAAUCCCACCCUCUCCG
RNAcentral lists this transfer RNA (89 nucleotides) under Rhodothermales bacterium. RNAcentral's name for it is "tRNA-Ser". It matches the Rfam family "tRNA". From Rfam's summary of the family: Transfer RNA (tRNA) molecules are approximately 80 nucleotides in length. RNAcentral also lists the same sequence under 2 other names. The record is from RNAcentral. Lineage: Bacteria; Pseudomonadati; Rhodothermota; Rhodothermia; Rhodothermales.